This is a long non-coding RNA of Uranotaenia lowii, 344 nucleotides long. RefSeq lists it as uncharacterized. The record is from RefSeq and is a predicted model, not a curated record. The transcript has 3 exons. Lineage: Eukaryota; Metazoa; Arthropoda; Insecta; Diptera; Culicidae.
CUGCAUUCUUUGCUGCAUCUACUUUGGCGACCGCCUCUGGUUCAACAGAAGUUGCCAUCGGAUACGUCGCCCCAGGAGGAAAUAAAUCGGAUAACAAAGAGCGACGAAUACAUCGAAUAUUCGAAAAAAAGCAAAAGCUGUUUCAGCUCAACAAGGCAGCAAAACAACCUCCAAGGAUCAGGGUUAUUUCCCAUACCACGGAUGUCGUAGAAGACCCGGACUGUUAGGAAGUUACAGGUUUUGGCUGCUAGCCGCAAUCAAAUCAUCGCUAAUUGCAUGGAAGAAAUUUCAAAUAAAGUAAGUUAAUCAAACAGAAUAAUAAAAUAUGAACAUUGUGCCCAGAA